Molecule: unclassified non-coding RNA, 221 nt
Filed under: Hevea brasiliensis (rubber tree)
Lineage: Eukaryota; Viridiplantae; Streptophyta; Magnoliopsida; Malpighiales; Euphorbiaceae
Source: RNAcentral
AAUUUGCAAGGGGAGAUGAAGUUCAAGAAUUUGGUAAUAUGCGACCAUUGUACAUCUUAUCAAGCAAUUUUCGUGCGUCGGGCCUUCUUAGGAGACCUUUGUUGUUUGGUAAACCAGUUCCUAGACAAACAGGACACACUAGUUUUCCUCUACCAUAACAAUUUGGACAUUCUGUAAACUCAUAGACAUCUUUAGCCCGUUUUCUGUUUAGAGCUUUCCAU